RNAcentral lists this long non-coding RNA (531 nucleotides) under Rattus norvegicus (Norway rat). RNAcentral's name for it is "long non-coding RNA NONRATT006223". Lineage: Eukaryota; Metazoa; Chordata; Mammalia; Rodentia; Muridae. The record is from RNAcentral.
GUCUCAUUUUGUCGCCCGCCCCUCCCCCAACAAAGAAAACCUUCCAGUUAUGUGGUGUAGAAACUGAGAUUCUACACUGAGAAUACAAGAAUCCACCCGCAAGACAAGAGCUCUCAGGAAACACCAAAGUGUCCCUGCCAUUUCAAAGUUAGCUCUUGUACGUAAACAUUUGGUUGCAGAAAACUGACAGCCACCUCUCCUAGUUGUGAUUUAUCAUGUCUCUGCUGAGGAACGACAAUCCCAAGCCACCCACUUCAUCACUCUCUAUGGCAUUUAAAUCCUGACAACUGAAGGAGCACGAAGAAACUGUUUUGUGACAUUGGUACAUUCAAAUGUUUCCACAUGUCACAAUGUUUAUUCUCCUUUUUCUGUUGGUUUCAGAUCCUCUAUGCUGGUGGCUAUGCUAUGUCAGUUAUUUUCAUGAUGUAUGUGAUUUCAUUCAUUUGUCGCAAGGGGAGAAAAAAUAGUGGCAUUUGGUCACUUUGCUUCUAUAUUGUAAGUAUGUUUACCGUUUUUAUUUUCGUGAUGAAG